This 466-nucleotide ribosomal RNA is filed under the name uncultured bacterium. RNAcentral describes it as "bacterial SSU rRNA". It matches the Rfam family "Bacterial small subunit ribosomal RNA", at positions 329 to 793 of the family's 1533-position model. The record is from RNAcentral.
GACCAGACUCCUACGGGAGGCAGCAGUGAGGAAUAUUGGUCAAUGGGCGAGAGCCUGAACCAGCCAAGUCGCGUGAGGGAAGACGGUCCUAUGGAUUGUAAACCUCUUUUGCCGGGGAGCAAAAAGCGGUACGUGUACCGCAUCGAGAGUGCCCGGAGAAAAAGCAUCGGCUAACUCCGUGCCAGCAGCCGCGGUAAUACGGAGGAUGCGAGCGUUAUCCGGAUUUAUUGGGUUUAAAGGGUGCGUAGGCGGGCUUUUAAGUCAGCGGUAAAAAUUCGGGGCUCAACCCCGUCCGGCCGUUGAAACUGGCAGACUUGAGUUGGCGAGAAGUACGCGGAAUGCGCGGUGUAGCGGUGAAAUGCAUAGAUAUCACGCAGAACUCCGAUUGUGAAGGCAGCAUACCGGCGCGCAACUGACGCUCAUGCACGAAAGCGUGGGUAUCGAACAGGAUUAGAUACCCGUGUAU